GAUGAACGCUAGCGGCAGGCUUAACACAUGCAAGUCGAGGGGCAGCGUGAGGGUUAGCAAUAACCCUUGACGGCGACCGGCGCAAGGGUGCGUAACGCGUGAGCAACUUGCCCUUAUCAGGGGGAUAACCGGUGGAAACGCCGACUAAUACCCCAUGGCAUUGGUUGGAGGCAUCUCCAUCCAAUUAAAGAUUUCGGAUAAGGAUAGGCUCGCGUGACAUUAGCUAGACGGCGGGGUAACGGCCCACCGUGGCGACGAUGUCUAGGGGUUCUGAGAGGAAGGUCCCCCACACUGGAACUGAGACACGGUCCAGACUCCUACGGGAGGCAGCAGUGAGGAAUAUUGGUCAAUGGGGCGAGAGCCUGGAACCAGCCAAGUAGCGUGAAGGAAGACUGCCCUAUGGGUUGUAAACUUCUUUUGUCGGGAAUAAAGUGCAGUAUGUAUACUGUUUUGAUGUACCGUUCGAAUAAGCAUCGGCUAAUUCCGUGCCAGCAGCCG
This 498-nucleotide ribosomal RNA is filed under the name uncultured bacterium. RNAcentral describes it as "bacterial SSU rRNA". It matches the Rfam family "Bacterial small subunit ribosomal RNA", at positions 28 to 517 of the family's 1533-position model. The record is from RNAcentral.